Molecule: ribosomal RNA, 696 nt
Filed under: uncultured bacterium
Lineage: Bacteria
Description: partial 16S ribosomal RNA
Rfam family: Bacterial small subunit ribosomal RNA
Source: RNAcentral
UAACGCGUGAGGAACCUGCCUCAAAGAGGGGGACAACAGUUGGAAACGACUGCNAAUACCGCAUANGCCCACGGNUCGGCNUCNAGCAGGGGGAAAAGGAGCAAUCCGCUUUGANAUGGCCUCGCGUCCGAUUAGCUNGUUGGUGAGGUAACGGCCCACCAAGGCGACNAUCGGUAGCCGGACUGANAGGUUGAACGGCCACNUUGGGACUGANACACGGNCCAGACUCCUACGGGAGGNAGCAGUGGGGAAUAUUGCACAAUGGGGGAAACCCUGAUGCAGCGACGCCGCGUGGANGAAGAAGGUCUUCGGAUUGUAAACUCCUGUUGUUGAGGAAGAUAAUGACGGUACUCAACANGGAAGUGACGGCUAACUACGUGCCAGCNGCCGCGGUAAAACGUANGUCACAAGCGUUGUCCGGAAUUACUGGGUGUAAAGGGAGCGCAGGCGGNAGAACAAGUUGGAAGUGAAAUCCAUGGGCUCAACCCAUGAACUGCUUUCAAAACUGUUUUUCUUGANUAGNGCAGAGGUNGGCNGAAUUCCCGGUGUAGCGNUGGAAUGCGUAGAUAUCGGGAGGAACANCANUGGCGAAGGCNGCCUACUGGGCACCAACUGACNCUGAGGCUCGAAAGUGUGGGUAGCAAACAGGAUUASAUNCCCUGGUAGUCCACACCGNANACNAUGAUUACNAGGUGU